CCUCUGCUACAACAAACCCUCCAUCAACUGUGUCUCCAACUUCAACUCCUUCAACUCCCACUACCAGUACUAGUUCUUCUACAACUGAGUCUCAAACUGCAGAACCUACAACAUCUCCUGCCAGUACAAGCUCUUCUACAACUGAGACUCAAACAGCAGAACCUACAA
Long non-coding RNA from Danio aesculapii, 168 nucleotides. RefSeq lists it as uncharacterized. The transcript is spliced from 3 exons. The record is from RefSeq and is a predicted model, not a curated record. NCBI's taxonomy places the organism in Eukaryota, Metazoa, Chordata, Actinopteri, Cypriniformes, Danionidae.